RNAcentral lists this ribosomal RNA (451 nucleotides) under uncultured bacterium. RNAcentral describes it as "bacterial SSU rRNA". It matches the Rfam family "Bacterial small subunit ribosomal RNA", at positions 354 to 796 of the family's 1533-position model. The record is from RNAcentral.
GUGGGGAAUCUUGCGCAAUGGGGGAAACCCUGACGCAGCAACGCCGCGUGGGUGAUGAAGGCCUUCGGGUCGUAAAGCCCUGUCAGGUGGAAAGAAUUGUGCCGGUGUAAAUAAUGCCGGCAUUUGACGGUACCACCGGAGGAAGCACCGGCUAACUCCGUGCCAGCAGCCGCGGUAAUACGGAGGGUGCAAGCGUUGUUCGGAAUUAUUGGGCGUAAAGCGCGUGUAGGCGGUCUGGUAAGUCAGAUGUGAAAGCCUUCUGCUCAACAGAAGAAGUGCAUUUGAAACUGCUAGGCUGGAGUACGGGAGAGGAGAGUGGAAUUCCCGGUGUAGAGGUGAAAUUCGUAGAUAUCGGGAGGAACACCAGUGGCGAAGGCGGCUCUCUGGUCCGAUACUGACGCUGAGACGCGAAAGCGUGGGGAGCAAACAGGAUUAGAAACCCGUGUAGUCC